UUCGUUUCUCCCAGGCGGCAAGUGUAGGGACUGGCGGCUGGCCUAACAGAGGCUAACCCUAGAGGCCUAGACCACAUGCCCUAGACGGCGAGGCGCACGGCUGGCGACGAGCGGACGCCAUCACACCAGGCGCUCAGCCGGCCAGGCAGUCUACUUGAGUACACGGCCCUCAACACCUCCUUCCUCUCAUUCGGCUUGGGCCGCCUCCGUGCCUUCUAGGACUUUGCCAACAUGACGAGUUUGCCUCUAUGCAAAGCUGGUUAUAUGUCUUGCUUUUGACAAUAAUGAACAAGUGAGAGAUGCUUUCAACCGUGAUGGAAGUAAUUGCACAAUGACAUCUGAAAUGUAGAGAAAGACUGCGUGCAAAAGACCCAAAGUAAUAAGACUCUUUCUCGGACCCUGCGCAAGUGGGAGCUACAUGCAUCGGGCUGCCCUUUUACACUUAGGCUCAACUUGCCCAGGCUUCACAAAAGUUCUGGCUCCGCCAGCUGCCCACCAUCGUCAGCUCCUCCGUUUGCCCGAACAACAGCAACUACGAGGCCGGCGCCUCCGCCCGCCCCUAUAACAGCAGCUGCACGGCCGACGCCUCCAUUUGCCCCCCAACAACAGCAGGUGCGUCGAUGGCGUCUCCAAGGAACCCGCCUCCUUAUGCAACUCCCUGGGCGCCGAGGUAGAGGCAAUCAUGCAAGGAUCUCCUGCUCCAACCUCCUGCUCAGACAUCACGGAGUGGAAGGCUUAACAUAAUUGAUUAUCUGAUGGGGAUGAAGCUAAAUCUUCUGCUGGAAAUGACUUCCCUGCUCUGAGGUGUGCUUUCUUCCUUUUCGUUUUCAUUUUCUGCUUUCAGAUGGUACUGUUCAGUUGGCAAAAUUUGCUUCUGAACUUGCUAGGUUGGCAAUUACUGAAACAGACUGCAAUCGAUAGAUGGAGACUGCGAAAUCAUGGUUAUUUGCUAGUAGAACACAUUAGACUUACAAAAAUAUCACUUAGAAUUCAGAAAUUAGAAGGGCCAUGAGUAUGACUGAUAUGAGAGGUAUUGUUUUGUACUUUGAAGAGAAAGAACAUAUAUAAGUUUGAGCAGUGAGUCACUGCCAGGUGGGAGUUUAGUUCCAAGGGUAAUUACGGCUCUUCGUCUUGUUUAUGUAAUUAUCAUAAAUUUCAGAAUAGUAUUGCAUUUUAAUUGGUCCAAUGUGCUCCAGCAAAUGACCCAAACGUUGUGGUAUCUGUAGAAGUGCAUGCUCUAGCCAAUGCAACCAAAAUACCGAUCUGAUGGAAGAGACUAGGCAGCACAUUAUACGUCAACACUCCCCCUCACGUGUGGCUCCCUCAGGCCUAAACAUGGACCGAAAGUGGGCUGCAAUUUAAUUGCACCAGCCGGGUCUUGAACUUGAGACCUCUUGGCUUUGAUACCAUGUAGAAGUGCAUGCUCUAGCCAAUGCAACCAAAAGACCGAUCUAAUGGAAGAGACUAGGCAGCACAUUAUACAUCAACAGUAUCUUUCAAUGGAUUGUUGAUUUUGUGAUGUGCUCGGGAAAUGCCAACCAAGUGUAGAAUCAGAGCCAGUUUUGCUUUUCUUUUAUCUGAUCACUUUCUAGAACUUCUAUACAUUUUAUUGUUGUGUCUCACCGUUGUAAUCUGGUUCCCCUGUAAUGCACUGUUUGUGAUCUUAUAUGUAAACUAGAGCACAUAAUGUUGAAUAAAUUUAGUUUCUGCAACUCCCAUUGCACCAGCCUAGAGAUUCUUGCUUGCAUAUUAUGGGGUAAAAUAAUAUCAAAUAAAAGAAUCACAUUGUGCAAUGGUUUUCGAAUCUUUUCUGUGUAGCAACCUAAUUUUCUUCAUGACUUUUUGUCAACUUUUUCAUUCCCUGGACAUGGCAUUAAUGUUCAUGUAGUCCUUUGAGAAAAAUGGUAAAAUAAGAAUGAAGAGUGUUAUUCUGUUUUAUCUCCAGAUAAUCUGUUUAGCCUCUUUAAUGUAAUCAGCCAGUGGAUCUUUUCUUUCGUUGUAUCUCCAGUGGGCAUCUUUCAACAACACAUCUGUGUUAGUUUAGUUUAUAUUCUUUCUUAUUUUUCUAUUGCAACCUGAUGUUAUUUUUCAAGGAUGGAUUGAACUGAAUACUGCUAAUAUUUUUUCAGUAUGUCAGAGUUUCUGAAUGCUCGCUGUAUCAUGGAUGUACUAGCAGAGAUGCUGAGUGCUUUAGACCUUGGAAACAGAGUGGUACAAAAUUCCAUCAGCCUGAUUUUAAUUCAACCUGCACAAAAUUAUGGACCUCUUAUCUCUAAAAAAUUGCAACCAACAGUUGAACAUGAUAUCCUGAUUUGACAUUUUAUGAUUUAUGAAAGAUAAUUCAUGUUCUCUUUUGGAAAUAUGUCCUGAGCGGUUUUAACUUCAGAUAUAACCUUGUUUUGAUCGCAUAAACUGAUUGUACUUCAAAAUAUGCUUUUGUACUACCACACAACAAAUUUUCCCUCAGCCUGUAGCUCUUUAAUAUGCAUAGAACUAUGUUAUCGGGUAUCUUCUCUAGUUUGUAGUAGUGCAGAGUGUAAACUAAUCUUUCUUCUCUUAAAAUUAUGUUCAUAUUCUAUAUAUAUGCACAGGUCUCAAUACAUUUCGAUUUUUGUUAUGAUCUUAUUUAAUCCAAUGAUUGAUGUAUGUUUUCAAGAGUUUUGCCAUGCAUCCUCUGUGGUUGUGAUCACUUCAUUAACACACUGAAUUUACUAAUGAUAAAUGCAGUAGAGAAAUGAAAAUUUGAGCUCAGAAUGUUGCGCACAUAUCAUUAUCAGGUUUCAGCAUCUCUAUUGUUGUUUUUAGGCUAAUUAUCUUUGAACCGCAUGUUUCCUUUGAAAUAUUUACAAGUUCAUCACUCUUUAUUAUCUGUAGAAUUAGAGGCGCCUUCUUAGUUUUCUGCUUCUUCCCACAAAUUAAGUAAUUCCUUUUCAUAUUUAUCGAUACAAUCGAGUGGUGGCCUGGUAUCUUUUUUUUUUCAUGUAAUUUCUGAAGUUGAAGGUGACACUGAUGGGUCAUGCAAGUUGAAGGUGACAUUGACUGAAAGAAUCUUCAGUGUGUUGCCCCAUUUUUGUUAUAAUAUACGACCUUAGAUUUCUUGAUUUAGAAAAAAAUAUAUUCAUGUUCCUAGUUGCCUUCUCAUACGGCGUGUUUGUCAUCCUCAUUGGCAAACUGAUCAUAAUCUCAUUCCGCCGGUGUCAGUUAAUAUAUGUUUGCAUUGUCGCUACCUUACUCUUGCCGGAGAGGUGUACCUGUGUCUGAACUUUGCUGUGCUGAUGAUUUUUUAUGACAUGGAUGUGCUGAAUAAUAUGUGUCAUUCCCAUGCCUGUUUAGAUGAUCGCAGAUUCCUCUCUUAAAUUGGCUCUGACUCGGCAAGAAGAUUUUGGUGGCAGCUUACCGAUUUUACCGACAAACGGCUUACUUCAGAGCUUUAUGCAGAAGGACUCAUGUGGCUAUCAGAAGAAAAUUUGUCCAUUUUCGAACUUCAUGAGUUAUUUCUCUGGCCAUAUUUUAGUUCCCGGCUGUUCCAUCGUUGAACAUAUGAAGCCUCGGCUGGUCGAUUCUUACGAAAGUUUGCGGACUUGUGUUCAGAGUUUUAGAUGUUCGUUUUCAUAGCCUGCAGCUUCAGACAGGUAUUCAUUCAACCCCACAUGACAGAUAUACCGAAUUGAAACACUCUCAUUGUGCUGC
Molecule: non-coding RNA, 3690 nt
Organism: Triticum urartu
Lineage: Eukaryota; Viridiplantae; Streptophyta; Magnoliopsida; Poales; Poaceae
Source: RefSeq, a predicted model, not a curated record